RNAcentral lists this ribosomal RNA (1468 nucleotides) under uncultured bacterium. Its description in RNAcentral is "partial 16S ribosomal RNA". It matches the Rfam family "Bacterial small subunit ribosomal RNA". The record is from RNAcentral.
GACGAACGCUGGCGGCGCGUCUAAGACAUGCUAGUCGAGCGAGAAAGUCCCCUUCGGGGGAUGAUUAAAGCGGCGAACCGGUGAGUAACACGUACUUAACGUACCCUCGAGUUCGGAAUAGCAGUGCGAAAGCGCUGGUAAUACCGGAUACGUUGGAUUAAUCACACGAUUUAUUCAAGAAAGCCUUCGGGCGCUCGUGGAUCGGGGUGCGGCCCAUUAGCUUGUUGGUAGGGUAAUGGCCUACCAAGGCUACGAUGGUUAGCUGGUCUGAGAGGAUGAUCAGCCACACUGGAACUGACACACGGUCCAGACUCCUACGGGAGGCAGCAGUGGGGAAUUUUGCGCAAUGGGGGAAACCCUGACGCAGCAACGCCGCGUGAGUGAUGAAGGCUCUCGGGUCGUAAAGCUCUGUCAAGUGGGAAGAACAUGAAAAAUGUUAAUAUCAUUUUUUACUGACGGUACCACUAAAGGAAGCACCGGCUAACUCCGUGCCAGCAGCCGCGGUAAUACGGGGGGUGCAAGCGUUAUUCGGAAUUAUUGGGCGUAAAGGGCGCGUAGGCGGUCAUUUAAGUCAGAUGUGAAAGCCCGGGGCUUAACCCCGGAAGUGCAUUUGAAACUGAAGGACUUGAGUAUGGGAGAGGGAAGUGGAAUUCCUGGUGUAGAGGUGAAAUUCGUAGAUAUCAGGAGGAACACCGGUGGCGAAGGCGAGCUUCUGGCCAUAAACUGACGCUGAGGCGCGAAAGCGUGGGGAGCGAACAGGAUUAGAUACCCUGGUAGUCCACGCUGUAAACGAUGUACACUGGGUGUUGGUUCUAUGAAGGAUCAGUGCCGUAGCUAACGCGAUAAGUGUACCGCCUGGGGAGUAUGCCCGCAAGGGUGAAACUCAAAGGAAUUGACGGGGGCCCGCACAAGCGGUGGAGCAUGUGGUUUAAUUCGAUGAUACGCGGGAAACCUUACCAGGGCUUGACAUGUGCAUGACGGUCUGUGAGAGCAGGCUUUCUCUUAUGAGACGUGCAUACAGGUGCUGCAUGGUUGUCGUCAGCUCGUGUCGUGAGAUGUUGGGUUAAGUCCCGCAACGAGCGCAACCUCUACUGUCUGUUGCCAACAUUAAGUUGGGGACUCGGACGGAACUGCCGGUGACAAACCGGAGGAAGGUGGGGAUGACGUCAAAUCCUCAUGGCCCUUAUGUCCUGGGCUACACACGUGCUACAAUGGUCGGUACAGAGCGUUGCGAAACGGCGACGUUAAGCCAAUCGCUAUAAAGCCGGCCUUAAGUUCGGAUUGGAGUCUGAAACUCGACUCCAUGAAGCUGGAAUCGCUAGUAAUCGCGCAUCAGAACGGCGCGGUGAAUACGUUCUCGGGCCUUGUACACACCGCCCGUCACACCACCCGAGUUGGGGGUACCCAAAGUCACUUGUCUAACCGGCAACGGAAGACGGUGCCGAAGGUAUGCCUGGUAAGGGGGGUG